This 484-nucleotide ribosomal RNA is filed under the name uncultured bacterium. RNAcentral describes it as "partial 16S ribosomal RNA". It matches the Rfam family "Bacterial small subunit ribosomal RNA", at positions 30 to 507 of the family's 1533-position model. The record is from RNAcentral.
AUUGAACGCUGGCGGCAGGCCUAACACAUGCAAGUCGAGCGGAUGAAGGGAGCUUGCUCCUGGAUUCAGCGGCGGACGGGUGAGUAAUGCCUAGGAAUCUGCCUGGUAGUGGGGGAUAACGUCCGGAAACGGGCGCUAAUACCGCAUACGUCCUGAGGGAGAAAGUGGGGGAUCUUCGGACCUCACGCUAUCAGAUGAGCCUAGGUCGGAUUAGCUAGUUGGUGGGGUAAAGGCCUACCAAGGCGACGAUCCGUAACUGGACUGAGAGGAUGAUCAGUCACACUGGAACUGAGACACGGUCCAGACUCCUACGGGAGGCAGCAGUGGGGAAUAUUGGACAAUGGGCGAAAGCCUGAUCCAGCCAUGCCGCGUGUGUGAAGAAGGUCUUCGGAUUGUAAAGCACUUUAAGUUGGGAGGAAGGGCAGUAAGUUAAUACCUUGCUGUUUUGACGUUACCAACAGAAUAAGCACCAGCUAACUUCGUG